UACAUAUUCCCUCCGUUUCAAAUUAGUUGACUUGAAUUUGUCUAAAUACAAUGUAUCUAUAGUUGUUUAGUAUUUAGAUACAUUUAUGUUUAGAUAAAUAUGAGUCAAGUAAUUUGGAACGGAGGAAGUAUGUG
Triticum aestivum (bread wheat) is the source of this 134-nucleotide non-coding RNA. The record is from Rfam. Lineage: Eukaryota; Viridiplantae; Streptophyta; Magnoliopsida; Poales; Poaceae.